Molecule: ribosomal RNA, 466 nt
Filed under: uncultured bacterium
Lineage: Bacteria
Description: partial 16S ribosomal RNA
Rfam family: Bacterial small subunit ribosomal RNA
Source: RNAcentral
GAUGAACGCUGGCGGCGUGCUUAACACAUGCAAGUCGAACGGAAAGGCCCAAGCUUGCUUGGGUACUCGAGUGGCGAACGGGUGAGUAACACGUGGGUGAUCUGCCCUGCACUUCGGGAUAAGCCUGGGAAACUGGGUCUAAUACCGGAUAGGACCACAUUUUGGAUGGUGUGGUGGAAAGUUUUUCGGUGUGGGAUGGGCUCGCGGGCUAUCAGCUUGUUGGGGGGGUAAUGGCCUACCAAGGCGUCGGCGGGUAGCCGGCCCGGGAGGGUGUACGGGCACAAUGGGGCUUGGAUACGGGCCAGACCCCUACGGGAGGCAGCAGUGGGGAAUAUUGCACAAUGGGCGCAAGCCUGAUGCAACGACGCCGGGUGGGGGAGGACGGCCUUCGGGUUGUAAACUCCUUUCGCUAGGGACGAAGCGUUAUGUGACGGUACCUGGAGAAGAAGCACCGGCUAACUACGUG